UACGUAGGUGGCAAGCGUUGUCCGGAAUUACUGGGUGUAAAGGGAGUGUAGGCGGGACUGCAAGUCAGGUGUGAAAUCUAUGGGCUCAACCCAUAGCGUGCACUUGAAACUGUGGUUCUUGAGUGAGGCAGAGGCAAGCGGAAUUCCUAGUGUAGCGGUGAAAUGCGUAGAUAUUAGGAGGAACACCAGUGGCGAAGGCGGCUUGCUGGGCCUUUACUGACGCUGAUGCUCGAAAGCGUGGGUAGCAAACAGG
Molecule: ribosomal RNA, 253 nt
Filed under: uncultured bacterium
Lineage: Bacteria
Description: partial 16S ribosomal RNA
Rfam family: Bacterial small subunit ribosomal RNA
Source: RNAcentral